RNAcentral lists this ribosomal RNA (253 nucleotides) under uncultured bacterium. RNAcentral's name for it is "partial 16S ribosomal RNA". It matches the Rfam family "Bacterial small subunit ribosomal RNA", at positions 524 to 776 of the family's 1533-position model. The record is from RNAcentral.
UACAGAGGUCUCAAGCGUUGUUCGGAAUCACUGGGCGUAAAGGGUGCGUAGGCCGCACGGUAAGUCAGAGGUGAAAUCCCGGAGCUCAACUCCGGAAUGGCCUCCGAUACUGCCGUGCUCGAGGACUGGAGAGGAGUCUGGAAUUCACAGUGGAUCAGUGAAAUGCGUGGAUAUUGUGAGGAACACUAGUGGCGAAGGCGAGACUCUGGACAGUUCCUGACGCUGAGGCACGAAGGCCAGGGGAGCAAACGGG